AGCGAACGCUGGCGGCAGGCUUAACACAUGCAAGUCGAGCGGGCGUAGCAAUACGUCAGCGGCAGACGGGUGAGUAACACGUGGGAACGUACCUUUUGGUUCGGAACAACACAGGGAAACUUGUGCUAAUACCGGAUAAGCCCUUACGGGGAAAGAUUUAUCGCCAAAAGAUCGGCCCGCGUCUGAUUAGCUUGUUGGUGAGGUAACGGCUCACCAAGGCGACGAUCAGUAGCUGGUCNGAGAGGAUGAUCAGCCACACUGGGACUGAGACACGGCCCAGACUCCUACGGGAGGCAGCAGUGGGGAAUAUUGGACAAUGGGCGAAAGCCUGAUCCAGCCAUGCCGCGUGAGUGAUGAAGGCCCUAGGGUUGUAAAGCUCUUUUGUGCGGGAAGAUAAUGACGGUACCGCAAGAAUAAGCCCCGGCUAACUUCGUGCCAGCCGCCGCCGUAAU
RNAcentral lists this ribosomal RNA (452 nucleotides) under uncultured bacterium. RNAcentral's name for it is "bacterial SSU rRNA". It matches the Rfam family "Bacterial small subunit ribosomal RNA", at positions 29 to 524 of the family's 1533-position model. The record is from RNAcentral.